Molecule: unclassified non-coding RNA, 900 nt
Filed under: Hevea brasiliensis (rubber tree)
Lineage: Eukaryota; Viridiplantae; Streptophyta; Magnoliopsida; Malpighiales; Euphorbiaceae
Source: RNAcentral
AAAACCGCCGCGUAACACAUGAGGUACAAAUUUGACAGAAUAUAACACUCUUCUACAAGAACUCUACUUCAUUGGUAUAUGCUAAGUAUAUUAAUAUCAAACCGGUGAUGCUAAUCCGUUUGAGGCGCUAAAGCAGAUUCUUUACACUACUUGGUAUUUAUCCAGCUAUGCUCGUAAAAGAUUCAGUAGCAGUUGCGAUUUCUCGUUCUUUUUAACAUCAUAAUUUACAACUAUGCAGCCUCCAAGUGUGAACUCACCAGGUCCUCCAAGCUCGUGAACCCAAUAUUUGCAUCAGGUUUCGAUGCACUACAGCAGAUUCAAGUGGCCUCACUACAGGUGUAUAAUGUAUAGCAUUUGGUGAAGUUGCUUACUCGCUUCUGUCUUCUUGUGCAACUUCAAGUGGAAGCUUAUCAUCUGUAGCUCUGGUGGUAGAAGUAACAGUUUCGCCCUUCUUUCUUAUGUCAGAAACAUGCUGAUCCUCUCCAUCGUUGUGAUCAUCUGAAAUUUUACCAGUUUGACUUCUUUCAUCUGCCUUCACUUCCGAAUAAGUACUAUCAUCAUUUACAAUAUGAUAAUUUUCAGAAGUGGAAGCGUUGCGACUCAGAGAUGUAGAAUCACCAUUAAUAGAGUCAAUUUCGUCCCUAGUUUCUAACCCAACUGACUUGUCUUCUUUUCUAUAAUUAGCUGCUACCUCUGCUCUCCUCUUCUCCUCCUCCCUCUGUUGUCGUUUUCUUGCUUCUUGUUCCUUUAACUGUUUAAACCUUUCACCCUGGCGGGGCUUAUCUGAAGUAGGAUUUGCAUCUUUCUUUUUAGCUAUUGUUGCUUCAGAGACUAAUUUCUGAAUUUGAGGUUGCUCUUUCUUAGGUGUAUCAUCACUUAAUUUCAACGUUGGAACUUUUG